GGUAGGAUUUAAUGCUUUCUGUCUUAUUUCUAGAAGUGUGGGGGUUGUUAUCUUGUCAACUCUUAAGCUAGUUUGAGCACGUUUCAGUUUCUGUGGCUGUAGCAAAGCAGAUUUAUCAGCUGCUUUGCAGAGAACUGCAGAGUGCAGGUACUUAGGCUUCCCAGUCUGGUGCACUGGUGCUGCAAAUGGGGGCGAAUCUUGGAGCUCUUUGGGCUAGGGAGGCAGGAAAACCACCCCCUGCUUGCUGCUGGGGGCACCUGAUCCUAUAGCAACACCUUGGAGCUGGGGGAGGAGGAUGAGGACUCCAUGCUUGUCUGGUGGGACGCGUCCUAAAGCCCCCUGAGCAGGAGGUCUGGGCCACCUGAACUUAACACAGUGCCACGUGGCGUCAGCCUUAUCCAUGGCCUCUGCAUUUGCUCUGACAGUUUGUUUAGCUUUAGUUCUUGUCGUUUAAGAGCUCAGCAGCACAAUCUGCUGCCUCUGUAUCUUUCCUUCCUGACCUGCUGCUUGUGGCCCUGUAGUCAUCUCUGAUGGGCAAGCAUGAUGCCAGGUGGGAAGGGGAUGCUGCUGGUGGGAGGAGGAGAGGGCAGCGAGCAUUCUCGUGGGCUGUGAGGCCCAUGCUGGCUGGGUGCCGUGGGAGCAGGACCUGUGAGAACACCCAGUGAGAACUGCCCAUCAGCGUGGUGCCAGGAUGACAAGCUGAGCAUCGCUGCCGUCAGCAAGGACUGAUGAUCAGUGGUGAUGUGCACGCAGGAGCAGCUCUUCCUGUUGCUCAUCCACGUCUCCCCGUUCUCUCACCUGCUGCAAACCCUCUCUCCAUCCAGCUCGGGACCAGCCUGUUCCAAGAAGAGCCCCUGCCGUACCUCGUGUACCAGCCCCUGCCCUGGCAGAUCCAGUGUGUGACGCAGAGCCGCCGCACCAGCCGGGACAGCGACAGAGGCAGGAGUUCACGUCACAACAGCAUCUACUCAAUUUCUGGAGAUAAAGGUGAGUGUGGAGCUGGGGGGGAGGCAGUGCUGUCAGCAGACAGCAGCAUGCGUGUGUUUGAUCCCUGCCUCCCCAUUCCCAUGCAACCUGCCCCACUGCAACACGUGGCUUGGGCUGUCCCCCACUUUUCC
Molecule: long non-coding RNA, 1118 nt
Filed under: Pavo cristatus (Indian peafowl)
Lineage: Eukaryota; Metazoa; Chordata; Aves; Galliformes; Phasianidae
Description: lncRNA (ENSPSTG00000010759.1)
Source: RNAcentral